Long non-coding RNA from Bos taurus (domestic cattle), 660 nucleotides. The record is from Ensembl. NCBI's taxonomy places the organism in Eukaryota, Metazoa, Chordata, Mammalia, Artiodactyla, Bovidae.
GGGAAUGGAGGUCUUCCCCACCACAACCUGCAGAGCAUGUGGGAUCUCAGCUCUCAGGCCAGGAAUCAACCCCACACCUCCUGCACUGGAAGGUGAAGUCUUAACCACUGGACCGCCAGUGAAGUCCUCAUAACUGUAAUCUCCUUUGCGGAGAAGCCUGCCAAGCAUGAGGCAAUAGGCCAUUAAAAGGCUACAGCACAGUGGAUCUUCUUUUCCCCUGGACUCUGGCUAACAGUCUAUCACAAUGGAGCAAGCCUGGAAGGAGUGUACCAUCAAAACCACUAUAAAAGCAUGAAGCCAAGUAGAGGAACCCUCUCAUACACUUUAGGGCUUUGGGGCAUAGAUUUCAUUACGCUUAUAAGAUAAAGAUUGACUUUUGGCUGUAAAGCAGCAGUGUGUCACUGACCGAAGAUAAGUUUAAGCAAAGAUGAUUAUUCUUUCUGACAAAACGGCUGAGAGUACUCUUUUCCCCUUGAAUUUUACAAAUAUGCUGAGUGUUGCAAAGAAGAAUAGCAAGGUUGCUAAUAUUCUUUAGAGAACAGGAUUUCCUGGGAAAUGGUAUCUUCAGAGGGAUUGCUAGAGAGUUUCUGAUCUGUUGUAAAAUUGCCUUUAUAAAGAUCUGGGAGCGUGGCAGUAAAACAUGGAAAGUAGGUGUGUCUC